AGUGAUUAAUCACCUCUGCAAGGGAUGCCUCUGUCAGCCUGGGGCAGUAAGGGUGCGUGAUAAAAGUCAGCCCAGCUCCUCACUCUCUCAUCCACUUCUCUUGCCUCCUUCUCCUUGGGAGUCAGCUGCAGCUCCAGACUCAAGACAUGUCCUGCUAUGACCAGUGCCAGUCCUGCCAGCCCUGUGGCCCCACCCCACUGGCCAACAGCUGCACUGAGCCCUGUGUCAGGCAGUGCCAGAGCUCCACCAUCGUCAUCCAGCCCGCACCUGUGGUGGUGACCCUGCCUGGCCCCAUCCUCAGCUCCUUCCCUCAGAACACUGUUGUGGGCUCCUCCACCUCUGCUGCUGUUGGCAGAAUCCUCAGCUCUGAUGGAGUGCCCAUCAACUCUGGCUGCUGUGACCUGUCCUGCAUUUCCAGCUGCAGCAGAUGCCCCCCAUGCUAAAGAUGUUGGCAACAGCCUCGGCUACGGACCCCUAGGAACUCAGAUCAUGGUGCCGGACAGACAAUCAAACUUCAUGGUGUUGUUUCCAGACGUUGUUUUCAGGUCAUCUCUAGCUUAUCCUUCAAGGGCAGGCUGAAAGGUGCCUUUCUGAACACAUGGAAAAUGUGUACUUUUCCUCUCUUCCACUCACCCUUUUCUUCUCUUCUUUCUUUUGUGCUCCCCUCAAAUCCUGCUAUGAGGACUCCAGAAUCCAACCUGGAGUGAGCUGCUAAGCUGUCCCCUCUUUUGGAACAGCUGGACAGGAAAAGGGGAACAGAUUCUUGGCUGUUCCUGCUCCUUGCCAUACUGGGGCCUCCAGCUGGAGUGAACUUAUUUCCCUCUUUAGACUCAUUAAAGAAUUCUGCAAGCCUGCCUGUGUCUCAUACGUUGUCUUUCCACCUACAUACUGCCUGCUGAGGGAGAAAGCCAUUGCUUUGUGGAAAUACCGUGUGCAGGUCUGGGAGCCACAAUCUGAAAAGGAUAUAAAGCUUCAGGAGAGUGUCCAGAGGAGGCCCUUGAAGUUGCUGAAGGGUUUUGAGUGGAAGCUGUAAGAGGAGUGGCUAAAGACACUAUGUCUGUUGAGUCUGGAGAAGAAGACACUGAGAGGAGAGCUCAUCAUGAUCUACAGCUUCCCCACAAGGGGAAGAUGAGGGACAGACACUGAUUUCUUCUCUCCGGUGGCCAACGACAGAGCCCAGGGUGAAAGGCAAGAAGAUGUGCCAGGGCAGGUUUAGGCCAGAUAUUAGGAAAAGGUUCUUCACCCAGAAAGUAGUGGAGCACUGGAACAGGCUCCCCAGGGAGGUGUCACAGACAAAACCUGACAGUGUUCAAGAAGCAACAGGACAACACUCUCAGACUCAUGUGGAGCACAACAUCAACGAAACAUUUCCAGGUGCUUAACGAACCAACUGGCUCUUUCAAGCCCAUGUUUCCCCAAGACAAAUGGGCAUGGUUGAGAAUAUGCAUCCACAUAACCAUAACAGAUUUCAGAACUGUAUUCUAACAACCUAGUACAAAAUUAUUAGAGACUGAUUUGCUUUGUAAAAUAUGAAGAUGGAGAUUUCUUCACAGCCACAGCCUUUCAAAAUAUGUUUCAGAAGACCCAGACCAGCACGUCUUGCAGCAAUUUUCAUCAAUGUGUUCUGUUAAUAAAAUUUACAAGCCAUC
Molecule: long non-coding RNA, 1649 nt
Organism: Columba livia (rock pigeon)
Lineage: Eukaryota; Metazoa; Chordata; Aves; Columbiformes; Columbidae
Exons: 3
Source: RefSeq, a predicted model, not a curated record